AGUGAACGCUGGCGGCGUGCCUAACACAUGCAAGUCGAACGAUGAUGGAGAGCUUGCUCUCCUGAUUAGUGGCGCACGGGUGAGUAUACCAUAGAUAAUGUACCUCUUAGUUCGGGAUAGCCACUGGAAACGGUGAUUAAUACCGGGUACUCCUUCUUGUCAAAAGGCAAGUCGGGAAAGUUUUUUCGCUAAGAGAUCAGUCUAUGUCCUAUCAGUUAGUUGGUGAGGUAAUGGCUCACUAAGACUAUGACGGGUAUCUGGUUUGAGAGGAUGAUCAGACACACUGGAACUGAGACACGGUCCAGACUCCUACGGGAGGCAGCAGUGAGGAAUAUUGCACAAUGGAGGAAACUCUGAUGCAGCAACGCCGCGUGGAGGAUGACGCAUUUCGGUGUGUAAACUCCUUUUAAGAGGGAAGAUUAUGACGGUACCUCUUGAAUAAGCACCGGCUAACUCCGUGCCAGCAGCCGCCGCGG
This 476-nucleotide ribosomal RNA is filed under the name uncultured bacterium. RNAcentral describes it as "partial 16S ribosomal RNA". It matches the Rfam family "Bacterial small subunit ribosomal RNA", at positions 29 to 523 of the family's 1533-position model. The record is from RNAcentral.